CCAACUUGUUGUAUGAGCCACCGCCCCUCCAGUACAUGCCCAUUACAUACUCCCCUGCAUCCCUUGGACUGGGAUGCUCUAUGUUCAGAGUGAGUUUGAUGGGGGUUGACCCAAUAGGUUUACUUAAGGUCAUUCUGGAGAGUAGGGGUUUCCCGUCUUUGUCAAUUCUGUCUAGGGCACUCUGGGGUUUAUAGCCCCAUGAUCUACCUGUAUUCCACCCAGCCGCCUUCCAUGAACUACAAUGAUGUCCCCAUGACCCCCCUGUUACGCAGAUAUAUGGGUCCUUCCUUCUGGGUAUGUCCUUGUAUAUAGCAGCAUAUUGUGUUUGUGGGAAGGUGCAAGUAACAAUAUCACAGUAAUCAAAAGAAAAGGUAGCCACAUCUGUGUUUGAGGAAUUGUACCAAAAAGUGUAAACAUGGUUAUCUUUGGUUAUAGCCACUUGCCCCUUGCCCCUGUAAAGUUUAGCAGCAAGAGAAAACACAAGGAACACAGAAAACUCAUGGCUCAGCAGGGGCAACUUCUUCCGGAGCAGGCACUUUCUUGCAGUGUGAAGCGUGUAUCCAGGAAC
Pelobates cultripes (western spadefoot toad) is the source of this 568-nucleotide non-coding RNA. The record is from the annotation of a GenBank genome assembly. NCBI's taxonomy places the organism in Eukaryota, Metazoa, Chordata, Amphibia, Anura, Pelobatidae.